Molecule: ribosomal RNA, 251 nt
Filed under: uncultured bacterium
Lineage: Bacteria
Description: partial 16S ribosomal RNA
Rfam family: Bacterial small subunit ribosomal RNA
Source: RNAcentral
GGGUGAGUAACACGUAGAUAACGUGCCUCGAGAUGGGGGAUAACUGGCCGAAAGGCCAGCUAAUACCGCGUAAGACCACAGCACCUUCGGGAGCAGUGGGAAAAGGUGGGGAUCCUUCGGGACCUGCCGUCUUGAGAUCGGUCUGCGGCCCAUUAGCUAGUUGGUGAGGUAACGGCUCACCAAGGCAGUGAUGGGUAGCUGGUCUGAGAGGAUGAUCAGCCACACUGGGACUGAGACACGGCCCAGACUCC